Long non-coding RNA from Helianthus annuus (common sunflower), 1988 nucleotides. RefSeq lists it as uncharacterized. The record is from RefSeq and is a predicted model, not a curated record. The transcript is spliced from 2 exons. NCBI's taxonomy places the organism in Eukaryota, Viridiplantae, Streptophyta, Magnoliopsida, Asterales, Asteraceae.
GCCCAUUAGUGUUAAUAGGUAAGGCUUGGGCCUAGGGCCACCAUAUAUUAAGGGCCUCAUAUUUAGAACUUAUUCUAUAUAUAAUAUUAGUAUUGGGCUAAGUUUAUCAUUGUUUUGGGCUGUGAAUCAAUAAUCAGCGUUAGGUUAUAAUUCAUGAAAAAAGGUAUGCAGAGAAAGAGGCACAAUCAAUGCAUAUUAAACGUCUGUUGGAAGCGGAAUGGUCGAUUUCUUUACCAUUUGUUUGUCCCUUUGCAUUUGUGAUAAAGGAAAUUACAGCGCAAGUGCCAAAUAUGCGGUUCUGAUUUAUUUCUCCAAAUUUCGGUUUUGAUUUGGGUUUCAUAGUCCAUUUUUGGUUUCAGUCAAGCAAAACGAUUCCAUUCUCUUCAGUUCUUGGUCUGGUACUCACAAAUGUUCUGCACAUCUUCCAUUUGUUAAGUGGCUCUUCAUUGCAGUUUCCUCUUCUUCUAUUAAUCGCCAGAUCUUUCAUCAACAUGUAUGAAUCCUCAUGGUUUUCAGAUCAUUCCGUAUGAUUAUUUCAUUGGAUGAAUGGAAAAUCAACUUAAAUCGAUUAUCAUUAUCAGUGGCGAAUCCAAUGGUUAUGGAUCUAGAGAGAGCGUUCCUAUCUUCCAGCAACGAAUCUGAUUAGAAACUCUCUCAUUGAAACCCGAAGGUAUCAAUACUUCUUCCUAUUCAUAUCCUUAUUACUUAAGAUUCAUGUUACAAAUUUGUUUCAGAGCCGCUUGAUUUUGCACACGAAUUUGAUCAGAAACUCCCUCAAAUGUUAUGUUUUUUUUUUCAUUCUGAUUCUUCGUUUCUGUAACAAGUUUCGUUUUCUGUGUCUUUGAUUUUUCCGAUUUCAGUCUUAAAUAAAACAAAUAACACAAGUUUUGUUUUUCCGGUUUCAUUCUUAAACAAAACAAAUAACACCAUGUAGUGACAUUCCUGAAUCAACACAUAACCAAUACUAACCUCUAAACCUAUGCAUUUUUACUAGAAUUUAUAAUUCAAUAACUGAACAAAAACAAAAUGGAAGAGUAAAUGAUGUUGGAGUAAUUCAUAAUUGUCUCCAUGCAAAAAUGAUGGAAUAGUUUGAAGAAGAUAAUGAUGAAAGAUAGAAGAAAAUAAAGAUGGAGGUUAAACUAAAUCGUGUAGUUUAUUAUAUGAAUCUGUUUUAGUUUAUUGAUCAGGUUGGAAAAUAAAGAUGGAGUUUAAACUAAAUCGUGUAGUUUAUUAUAUGAAUCUGUUUUGGUUCCCUUGAUGGGUUCUUUGAAAAGUCAAAGCAAUUUGCUUUGAUAAAAAAACGGGUUAAGUAACUUCUAUUAUGGUCUAGAUAUCCAUCAAAUUAAUUACCUAGACACACAAGGCCUAGAUAUAUGUUUGUUAAGUAAGUGUUAGACUGAUUUUUUUAAGUUCAUAAUGGACUUUCAAUUCAAUUAAUUGGGGUGAUUUGGUUGUUUAUUUCUUUGAGCAAUGACUUGGUUUCUACUAAAUCAAAUGACUUUAGCGUAUGCUGAUAGUUAACGCAUGACUUGGUUUCUACUCUGUUAAUUAUAAAUCAAAUGAUUUUAGUAUGUGUUGAUAGUUAUCCGCCUGAUGUUAUUGUUUUUGGCUCAUGCAUCAUGAUAUAUGAUGAAAACUGGUUGCUAGCUCGAAACGAUGCAGAAAUCAAAGGCUCGAAACGACAUUCAAAUUGUAGAUUAGAACUUAAAGGGUGCAUUCAACAGGGCCAGAAAAGAGAGUAGGAGUUUGAUAGAUUCGUCUUUAGGGUGUUUUUGCGAAACCAAAACUGGCGUCGAUCACGUACAAUCAACCUGAUUUAUGUGAAUUUUUGGGUUUCCAGGUCGUAUCUGACUUAAUUUGAUUUGUGAUUGGGUAGUUUUUUUUACAAGAGGUAAAAGGGAAAAGGUGUAUCAAUGCAAUUUUUGAAAUGAAGAUGAGUGCUUGGGCAUUUAUCUUCAGUUAACUAGCAUAAUUAUGGUUUAUAUUCA